UACGGGGAGGGCAAGCGUUGUUCGGAAUUACUGGGCGUAAAGGGCGCGUAGGCGGCCUUCUAAGUCGGACGUGAAAUCCCUCGGCUCAACCGAGGAACUGCGUCUGAUACUGGAAGGCUUGAAUCCGGGAGAGGGAUGUGGAAUUCCAGGUGUAGCGGUGAAAUGCGUAGAUAUCUGGAGGAACACCGGUGGCGAAGGCGACAUCCUGGACCGGUAUUGACGCUGAGGCGCGAAAGCCAGGGGAGCAAACGGG
Molecule: ribosomal RNA, 253 nt
Filed under: uncultured bacterium
Lineage: Bacteria
Description: partial 16S ribosomal RNA
Rfam family: Bacterial small subunit ribosomal RNA
Source: RNAcentral